UGGGGAAUAUUGGACAAUGGGGGCAACCCUGAUCCAGCCAUGCCGCGUGUGUGAAGAAGGCCUUCGGGUUGUAAAGCACUUUCAGUGGGGAGGAAGGCCUGUUGGUUAAUACCCAUCGGGAUUGACGUUACCCACAGAAGAAGCACCGGCAAACUCCGUGCCAGCAGCCGCGGUAAUACGGAGGGUGCGAGCGUUAAUCGGAAUUACUGGGCGUAAAGCGCACGUAGGCGGCCUGUUAAGCUGGAUGUGA
RNAcentral lists this ribosomal RNA (250 nucleotides) under uncultured bacterium. Its description in RNAcentral is "partial 16S ribosomal RNA". It matches the Rfam family "Bacterial small subunit ribosomal RNA", at positions 355 to 597 of the family's 1533-position model. The record is from RNAcentral.